UGCGCCCCGCGCGGCGCGUAGUUUGGGCCGCGGUCCUGGGUUCGGGCGCGGCGUAGGGCUCGUAGUCGUCCGUUGAGUCUGUGGUGCAGCGGGAACAGCUGGUGGUCCCCAUGGCUUUCUUUUAAAGGAAUGCUGCCGCCUUCAAAAGAACAUGUCGGAUGGAGAUGGUCCACCGCCAGAAACUCUUGAGGAGGAAAGGCAGCCAGGCGGUUCCCAUCCUGCAGGUCCUGAAGCCAGCCGUUUGAAGAAGAGCAGUUGGGGCUUCUUACCUACUGGUGUUGUUGGUGGGACACUGGUGGCCCUGUACGCCGUGGCCACACCCUUUAUAACACCAGCCCUCCGAAAAAUUUGCUUGCCUUUUGUACCUGCAACAACGAAGCAGGUGGAAAAUGUUGUGAAGAUGCUGCGAUGCAGGAGAGGACCCCUGGUAGAUAUUGGUAGCGGCGACGGACGCAUUGUGAGUUACACCAAGGUGAUAGCCGCCGCAAAGGAAGGGUUCACAGCUGUGGGUUAUGAAUUGAACCCCUGGCUCGUCUGGUACUCAAGGUACCGCGCCUGGCGAGAAGGUGUGCAGGGAUCCGCCACCUUUUACAUCUCAGACCUGUGGAAGGUCACUUUUUCUCAGUACUCAAACGUUGUCAUUUUCGGGGUACCCCAGAUGAUGCCGCAGUUGGAGAAGAAGCUCGAGCUUGAACUUGAGGACGAUGCUAGGGUCAUUGCCUGCCGGUUCCCUUUCCCUCACUGGACCCCGGCCCAGGUCACGGGGGAGGGAGUGGACACCGUGUGGGCCUACGACGCGAGCGCCUUCAGAGGAGGCGGCCGGAGGCCCUGAAGAUCCGCGCGUGCGUUUCCGGGCGGUCAUUCAGAUACCAGCCUCAUCGAGAGAGAGGUUUCUAGCGUGUGGGGUCUUUGAUUCUAUAGAGACGUAGGCCGGUCUUCCUUCAGCCAAGAGGAUGUUUUUCCUUGCUGUGGACUGAGAAAUGACGAUUGCUUUUCUUAACCUGUGGAGAAAAAUAAACAAGUUUAGAGCAGCAGGUCGAUGUGCAGCCCCUCUCACGGUGCAUUCUAACGCCCGCGCUCGCUGCUUCCCACGCCCCCGGUACGUGAACGUGUGACCGGGUGAUGGUCGUCCAAAGGGUGGGUGAGCCGGCAGCAGCUCUGCGCGUGCUCAAGAGUGUGAUUUAACGCCGCAGGUGAGGAGGAGCAGUUUUCAAAAGAGGGUGUGGGUGUUUACCUUCGCAGUUUCCUGUCAUUUUAUUCCUACCCAAGAGUAUCCCUUUCUUUUCUGUACUUCAUGGCAAAGUCAGUUUUCUAAAGGUUUUAGAGAGGCAUUUAUAUUUAUAACAUUUCUUAGGAGUAAUUUGUUCCAAGACCAGUGGAUGACUGUACUUUGUUGACUCUACGAUGUACGUGUGUGUAAAAGUGUGUAUUUGUACACAUUUGAACACUUCUGAGUUGCCCUGUACCUUCCAGUUGAGGGCGCCUUAUAACUGAUCGGCAGCGUCACGCUAGGUGAGGUGCUAGGUUCCGAUCCCCACCUGGUCACCGGCAGGGGCCUUGGACCAGCGACACACCUUCCCGGAGCUCUUGGGUUCCUGAGCCCCCGCCUCUGGGAUAACGAUACACUGAACAGGGGCCUGGGGACUGAUCUGUAAAACCCGCGGCACGGAGUCUGUGGUCUGUAAGUGGCGUUUAUUAUUUUAGACACUAAAGGAAGACCUAUUCACUGAAGUUGCAGAUUACUCCUCCUCAUCACUUCUUUAUUUUAGGAAAGCAGCUGUUUGUUUAAUAUUUCUCCGUUAUGAGAAGAGGCUUGACUGGUUUAGUUUAAGAGAAGUUAAGGCAAACCUCUGACCAGCUUCAUAUAUCUGAAAAAUUAACAUUGAAUGGGUGGCUCGAAUAAUCCCUGCAUAUCACAGAAAAUAAUUAAACUGCCCGUCAUCCACCUGAAACAUACAUACCAGACCAUCUUAACAGAAAUUUGACGACGUGAGAUAAUUUGCAUCUUUAGCUCAACUGAUUUGAAAAACGGUCCAUUUGAUGAUCUUCAUUUAAAUGAGAAGCAACUGGGGACGCCAUUCAUUCAUUCAGUAAAUACUGAGUGUCUGCUGUGUAAUAAGCUUUUCCCAUUCAAUGGUGAGUGACAUGCAAGGCCCCAAAUCUUACGGGACUUAUACUCUGGAAGAGAGAUGAACAAACAGACACAGUCGUGCUGGAUUUGCAGAGGCAUCAGGCAUACUGCUUGCAGUUUGGGGUGUUUUCUCCUUUAGCUUCCUGAGAAUUAGGUGAUGCUUGGUCCUGCAAUCUCCAAGAAGAAUGAACUGUUUCAUUAAAGUGUUGUGAUUCAGAGUCUGCACAGUCUGUAAUUGACUUUUAAAAUUGUGGCUUUAAGUAAACGGUGCAAUAUGAAUUUUCUUGUAGAGGUUGCUCUGGCUUC
Phacochoerus africanus (Common warthog) is the source of this 2437-nucleotide RNA transcript. It is a transcript of the gene named ATP synthase c subunit lysine N-methyltransferase, with no coding region annotated. The record is from RefSeq and is a predicted model, not a curated record. Lineage: Eukaryota; Metazoa; Chordata; Mammalia; Artiodactyla; Suidae. The transcript has 7 exons.